RNAcentral lists this ribosomal RNA (301 nucleotides) under uncultured bacterium. RNAcentral's name for it is "partial 16S ribosomal RNA". It matches the Rfam family "Bacterial small subunit ribosomal RNA", at positions 509 to 807 of the family's 1533-position model. The record is from RNAcentral.
CAGUAGCCGCGGUAAUACGGAGGGAGCUAGCGUUAUUCGGAAUUACUGGGCGUAAAGCGCACGUAAGCGGCUUUGUAAGUUAGAGGUGAAAGCCUGGAGCUCAACUCCAGAAUUGCCUUUAAGACUGCAUCGCUUGAAUCCAGGAGAGGUGAGUGGAAUUCCGAGUGUAGAGGUGAAAUUCGUAGAUAUUCGGAAGAACACCAGUGGCGAAGGCGGCUCACUGGACUGGUAUUGACGCUGAGGUGCGAAAGCGUGGGGAGCAAACAGGAUUAGAUACCCCGGUAGUCCCUGUCUCUUAUAC